AGUCUUCUUCUACACUAAUGAUUUGUAAAAUGUAUGUACUAUGACUAUUAAAUGGCUUAAACUAACAAAACUGGCAUUAUUGAAAUUUAAUUUCAACAAUCUGGUUUUGAGGAGGAUCAGUUGGUGUAAAGUCUUCAUUACAUUGGCUAUUAGCCUGAGAAAAGUCUGUGGCACUCAAUAAGUACAUGGAUGAUUUGAAUGCUUAACACAACAUGUACAUGUGUAUAAGUUGAUAUCUCAUUAACUUGUAGAAUAUAGUUCUAAAUAAUAGGAAUUUUAAUUAAGUAUUCAAAGUAAAUCAAUUAAUUGUAAUUUAGUUUAAUUGUAAUGUGAUUAUUUUCAAAUUUAAUUAACCCAUUCUUGACUUAGACAUUGUGAUGUGAUUGAAUUUUUUUACCAGUUUUAUUGCACCAAGAAUAUAGAUUAGAAUGAAGACUGUAAAGGUUCCUGAGAUACAUGAAGAUAACAGAUACUUUUACCAAAGACUUUUAAAUCUUUUUUCAGGAAUGCAAGUGUUUCCUCUUGUUUACGAAGCAACUCAGUUGGUUAAGGGGCAGACAACUUGUGAGCAUGGUACAUCACUACCUGUAUUGGUAUUCCAUUUUGACAAUGUUGCUACCUAGAAUAGAAAUAACAUCUUGCUGUGGUACAGUCUGUGGAGACUUUUACUAGGAUAUCACAGAUCGAUUGAAUAUUCAACAAUGAUCACAGACCAUGCAAAGUUUGAAUCUGUCUGACUUGCACUUUUGAAUUUAGAAUAAUCUGUGGAGGAGAGUGAAUGCUGAGACCUUUAAUAAUACAUGAUAGUGCUGACACAGUGUGUCAGUCAUCAAAGAAAGGCCAUAACACCGCACAGUUGGUCAACAAUGAUUUAAAUCCUGUCACAUUCUACCAGUGGAGAAAUAUCUUAUCACAAUAUUUUAAACUUUUGAAGAAGAUAACCAAGUAUUACCACUUUAUCAUGUCUGCAGAAACACCUGGAUUGUUAGUGUUAAAAGUGACAGUCCAGUUAACUUACUAAAAUCUACUCCCCCUUGCCAAACGAAUAUUAUUGACAUGGAAUGACACAAGCCUGACAAUGGUACCUGUAUGAACUCAUAAGAGAAUAGUAUUUGUCUGAAAAGUCAAAGGAUUCUGUUUGUCCCAAACCACU
Mercenaria mercenaria is the source of this 1153-nucleotide long non-coding RNA. RefSeq lists it as uncharacterized. Lineage: Eukaryota; Metazoa; Mollusca; Bivalvia; Venerida; Veneridae. The record is from RefSeq and is a predicted model, not a curated record. The transcript is spliced from 2 exons.